AUUGAACGCUGGCGGCAUGCCUUACACAUGCAAGUCGAACGGCAGCACGGGUGCUUGCACCUGGUGGCGAGUGGCGAACGGGUGAGUAAUACAUCGGAACGUACCUUAUCGUGGGGGAUAACGCAGCGAAAGCUGUGCUAAUACCGCAUACGCCCUGAGGGGGAAAGCGGGGGAUCGCAAGACCUCGCGCGAUUAGAGCGGCCGAUGCCUGAUUAGCUUGUUGGUGGGGUAAAAGCCCACCAAGGCGACGAUCAGUAGCUGGUCUGAGAGGACGAUCAGCCACACUGGGACUGAGACACGGCCCAGACUCCUACGGGAGGCAGCAGUGGGGAAUUUUGGACAAUGGGGGCAACCCUGAUCCAGCAAGGCCGCGUGAGUGAAGAAGGCCUUCGGGUUGUAAGGCUCUUUUGUCAGGGAAGAAACACCGGCUCUAACACAGUCCGGGAAUGACGGUACCUGAAGAAUAAGCACCGGCUAACUACGUGCCAGCAGCCGCAGUAA
This 501-nucleotide ribosomal RNA is filed under the name uncultured bacterium. Its description in RNAcentral is "partial 16S ribosomal RNA". It matches the Rfam family "Bacterial small subunit ribosomal RNA", at positions 29 to 523 of the family's 1533-position model. The record is from RNAcentral.